UUUGCACUCAUCGGGGAAGGGUGAGAACCUUCGACUAAGGUUCGACUCGAGCGAAAGCGAGAGAACGUUUUCACAGGCAACGGCCCGAAGGGUGAGGAGCGAAGCGAUGAAUAAUCCUUUCCCCACCGCCA
RNAcentral lists this small RNA (131 nucleotides) under Escherichia coli. RNAcentral describes it as "RtT sRNA". It matches the Rfam family "RtT RNA". From Rfam's summary of the family: This family represents a bacterial cis-regulatory element known as RtT RNA. The exact function of RtT is unknown although it is thought that it may be involved in changing the cellular response in relation to amino acid starvation. The record is from RNAcentral. Lineage: Bacteria; Pseudomonadati; Pseudomonadota; Gammaproteobacteria; Enterobacterales; Enterobacteriaceae.